RNAcentral lists this non-coding RNA (95 nucleotides) under Salix viminalis (osier). It matches the Rfam family "TPP riboswitch aptamer (THI element)". Rfam says of the family: Vitamin B(1) in its active form thiamin pyrophosphate (TPP) is an essential coenzyme that is synthesised by coupling of pyrimidine and thiazole moieties in bacteria. The record is from RNAcentral. Lineage: Eukaryota; Viridiplantae; Streptophyta; Magnoliopsida; Malpighiales; Salicaceae.
CCAUCUGGCUAGAGGAGGCAGCUGGCCAGGCUGAGAAAGUCCCUUUGAACCUGAACAGGAUAAUUCCUGCGUAGGGAGUGUGCAUUUUUUCUGUC